Molecule: ribosomal RNA, 424 nt
Filed under: bacterium
Lineage: Bacteria
Description: bacterial SSU rRNA
Rfam family: Bacterial small subunit ribosomal RNA
Source: RNAcentral
UGAGGAAUAUUGGUCAAUGGGCGCUAGCCUGAACCAGCCAAGUAGCGUGAAGGAUGACUGCCCUAUGGGUUGUAAACUUCUUUUAUAUGGGAAUAAAGUGCAGUAUGUAUACUGCUUUGCAUGUACCUUAUGAAUAAGGAUCGGCUAACUCCGUGCCAGCAGCCGCGGUAAUACGUAGGGGGCAAGCGUUAUCCGGAUUUACUGGGUGUAAAGGGGGCGUAGGCGGGUUGUUAAGUCAGCGGUGAAAGUUUGUGGCUCAACCAUAAAAUUGCCGUUGAAACUGGUUGACUUGAGUAUAUUUGAGGUAGGCGGAAUGCGUGGUGUAGCGGUGAAAUGCAUAGAUAUCACGCAGAACUCCGAUUGCGAAGGCAGCCUGCUGGACUGUAACUGACGCUGAUGCUCGAAAGUGUGGGUAUCAAACAGG